RNAcentral lists this long non-coding RNA (735 nucleotides) under Chinchilla lanigera (long-tailed chinchilla). Its description in RNAcentral is "lncRNA (ENSCLAG00000025733.1)". The record is from RNAcentral. Lineage: Eukaryota; Metazoa; Chordata; Mammalia; Rodentia; Chinchillidae.
CUUAUGCAUUUUGCUGUUGCCUGUCUCUUGAGGGAUGUGACAUUGUCCUUGUGACAAACCUACAAGAAACCUACAAGAAAUCCUCUUUUUCAGAUGAAGGCCAUUCAGCUAAGAAUCUGACACUGAAGCCCAUGCACAUGCCUCACCAUGUGGAUGCUUCAGAUCCUGGAGCUCUGACUCCCCGACCAACUCUGGUCCCAGGACAGGGUCAGGUUCUGCCGAGGAUAAAACAAAGAGACCAACUUUGCAGAGAGGGGAAUCUUUUGAAGCAUCACUUCCUUGAAGACAUUUCUCAGCUGUGGCUUGUGCCAAGCACUGGGAUAUAAAGAGUGAAGGCCCUCAAAGAGCUUGCAGCUGAGCAAGGGGAGAGAUGGCUGCCUCAGUGAAGGCUGAGGGUGCUGGGGACAGGACAUUGGUGUGGGUGCCCCUGUCCCACUCCUGCUGGCUGCUCUUCUCCUGGAGCUGACCAGUGAGAUUGCCAGCAGCUGAGAUUGCUUCCUGACUCCAGGCACUGGGGUUGACUCAGGGGCAGUGUGAGGCGGAUGCCAUGGGACAGGAUUGUCUGAGAGGAAGGCCUAGGUUCCUGGGGAGAAGCAAUCUCAUUUCCUUAUUUCUCCCACUGAGAGGCUACACAGCCCUCCUAAGAGCAAAGGGAGAUCCUGACCUGGUCUAUAGAAGCCUGAAAGGCCCCUGGAGGCAGAGGGUUGGAGGUGAGGUGGUCAGAAGGAAUGCAGG